Non-coding RNA from Rattus norvegicus (Norway rat), 2011 nucleotides. The record is from RefSeq and is a predicted model, not a curated record. Lineage: Eukaryota; Metazoa; Chordata; Mammalia; Rodentia; Muridae.
AGUGGUGCAGACAGGCUCCUAAAAGAUGAGCAGUGUCCCUGAGGAGAAGACUGAGCAGGAGAGAGCCCUUACUUUGGAAACCCCUGGUGGUCAGAUGUAAGGUCCUGUUUCCCAAUUGGUUCUUAAUCUAUCAAUACAAAUGCCAUGGGCCAAUUGCUGAGUGGAAGGAUAGGUGGGACUUCCGGAACCCCACAGGAAGCUGGGAGAGGCAGGAGAAUUUAACCAUGCUUCAGAGAGAGAAAAGCCAACCAGCCGUGUGAGGUCUGGGGCUAAGCUGCCACCAGGCUGUUCUGCAGAUUGAGGACAUUGAGGUGGGUGAGCAACUGAAGUUGAGUGCAGAUUUAGAGUGCUGAGCAGGGAGUACUGAGAAGGGGAAGCUAACUGAGGUAGAUCGGGGGUGCCCAGCAGUUGAGCCAAAAAAAGGAAAAAUGAAAUUGAGCAACUGUGUGCGUCUGUGUUUUUCAUCUGUAGAUUGAAUAUUCUCUGGGCAGGGUACUAUGGUAGCAGGUAACAUGGCCUGUUCCCUGAACUUGGGCAGGAUUGGAAAAGCUACACUCAACAGGCAGAUUUCUGAGCUGUAUUUCCACCCCAUCCCACCCCUUAGUUCUGCAAAGAUUUCUUUCUGUAGGUUUCAGACAAGCUCUAAACCUAUGUCUGAAGAUGCCUCUGACUUUUUGCCUUCUCAGUUCCCAACUCACAACCUUGUCAUGCCAUACUGCGUGUUACAAUGAUUUUGAUAAAGAGAAGAAAUUUUAAUGCUUACCAAAUACAAACAAAACCAAAAAUCAAAACAACAACAAAACCCCCAAACAGAAACCACAUUGGAGGUUGAUUGGGUAGAGACGGCAGGACAUCAUGAACUUUCUAGAAGGUUAUCAUAGUCUUAAAUGCUUUGCCCAGCUAAUAGUUCUUUCUUGUGGGAAAGAGAGUGAUUGAAACCUUUCUAGCCUUGAUAUUUUUCAAAAUAUUUCUGUAGUGUCAGAAUUUUGUAGUUAUUUGUUAUAUGUGAAACCUAAUAGGUAUAUGAAUAUGUACUUUAGAAUACACUUAAUGUGUUAUUGUUAUUAAAAUUAUAUUUGUAGUUCACAGGUCCCAGGAACUAGGGAAGACUUAUGAAGCAUUACCUAUCCAAUGCUGUUCUACUGUGAAACACCAGCAUCAGUAGGAGCUUGAGGGAUGUGCAGAAUCUCAAGCAUUUGAACAAAUCUGUUGAUUUAUCAGCACAUUAGCAUUUAAAAAUCUCUAGACCAGCUAGCUUCUUGGUCCAGUGGGUGGGGGAUCAUUUGGAAAAAGUUCAUACAUAUCUUCAAACACCAAACUGCUUCCCCAGUUUGCAAUCUUCCAGAACUCAGUUUGGUUUUCUAUAUUUUUAUUCCUUAGCAAUUGUGUUCUAGGUCUCAUGGCCACAUGGUUAAGUGAGCAUCUUCCAAAACUUCAUCUUUCAACACAGUUCAAAGCAACAGCAAGUCUACAAUCUUCUCCUGCCCUCUGAGAUAUAUGCCUAAGGUCAAAGGAGACAACAAGAGUAGGGGUGUCCAACACCAGUUUCAGAUCAGAGCCUUGAAAAUGCACCAAAGAAUCCAUCAGAUCUGUAAGUGACCUCAUAUGUGAGUAGUCUCUAUAAAUGAAGAGGCAAUGGCAUUUCACCCAGGCUUAAGUCUACCCACCAUUGUGUGGAGCAUUGUGUGAAGAGGAAGUCCCUCCUGUGUGCCCAAAGGACAAUGUGAAGAGUCAACAAUGUGUGGACUACAGAAAAGCCUUGUCAGAAUCUCAACAAGUGCUUCAGAAUCAUGACCGUAUGUCAGAGCCAGUGCUUUGUAAGAAACAACAAAAUGAACAGGAUUUCUCCUCUAAUGAAGCUCAAAAUCGAACGGGCAAACAGAUGUUAAAUAAUUUAAAUUCAUGUGAAGCACAUUAUAUAGAAAUAUAUGAAGUACACAAUAAGAGAAAAUGAUACAAGGAUGUCCAUUUAGACUUGGAUGUGGGACAAUAAAAUGAUGUGUUGUGAAAA